UCGAGGGGCAGCGGGAUUGAAGCUUGCUUCAAUUGCCGGCGACCGGCGCACGGGUGAGUAACGCGUAUCCAACCUUCCGUACACUCAGGGAUAGCCUUUCGAAAGAAAGAUUAAUACCUGAUGGUAUGAUGAGAUUGCAUGAUAGCAUCAUUAAAGAUUCAUCGGUGUACGAUGGGGAUGCGUUCCAUUAGGUAGUAGGCGGGGUAACGGCCCACCUAGCCUACGAUGGAUAGGGGUUCUGAGAGGAAGGUCCCCCACAUUGGAACUGAGACACGGUCCAAACUCCUACGGGAGGCAGCAGUGAGGAAUAUUGGUCAAUGGACGAGAGUCUGAACCAGCCAAGUAGCGUGAAGGAUGAAGGUCCUACGGAUUGUAAACUUCUUUUAUAAGGGAAUAAAACCUCCCACGUGUGGGAGCUUGUAUGUACCUUAUGAAUAAGCAUCGGCUAACUCCGUGCCAGCAGCCGCGGUAAUACGGAGGAUGCGAGCGUUAUCCGGAUUUAUUGGGUUUAAAGGGAGCGCAGACGGGUCGUUAAGUCAGCUGUGAAAGUUUGGGGCUCAACCUUAAAAUUGCAGUUGAUACUGGCGUCCUUGAGUGCGGUUGAGGUGUGCGGAAUUCGUGGUGUAGCGGUGAAAUGCUUAGAUAUCACGAAGAACUCCGAUUGCGAAGGCAGCACACUAAGCCGUGACUGACGUUCAUGCUCGAAAGUGUGGGUAUCAAACAGGAUUAGAUACCCUGGUAGUCCACACGGUAAGCGAUGGAUACUCGCUGUUGGCGAUAUACUGUCAGCGGCUUAGCGAAAGCGUUAAGUAUCCCACCUGGGGAGUACGCCGGCAACGGUGAAACUCAAAGGAAUUGACGGGG
RNAcentral lists this ribosomal RNA (864 nucleotides) under uncultured bacterium. RNAcentral's name for it is "bacterial SSU rRNA". It matches the Rfam family "Bacterial small subunit ribosomal RNA", at positions 62 to 918 of the family's 1533-position model. The record is from RNAcentral.